RNAcentral lists this ribosomal RNA (460 nucleotides) under uncultured bacterium. RNAcentral's name for it is "partial 16S ribosomal RNA". It matches the Rfam family "Bacterial small subunit ribosomal RNA", at positions 338 to 795 of the family's 1533-position model. The record is from RNAcentral.
CCUACGGGAGGCAGCAGUGAGGAAUAUUGGUCAAUGGACGAGAGUCUGAACCAGCCAAGUAGCGUGAAGGAUGACUGCCCUAUGGGUUGUAAACUUUUUUUAUAUGGGAAUAAAACGUUCCACGUGUGGGAUUUUGUAUGUACCAUAUGAAUAAGGAUCGGCUAACUCCGUGCCAGCAGCCGCGGUAAUACGGAGGAUCCGAGCGUUAUCCGGCUUUAUUGGGUUUAAAGGGAGCGUAGGUGGAUUGUUAAGUCAGUUGUGAAAGUUUGCGGCUCAACCGUAAAAUUGCAGUUGAAACUGGCAGUCUUGAGUACAGUAGAGGUGGGCGGAAUUCGUGGUGUAGCGGUGAAAUGCUUAGAUAUCACGAAGAACUCCGAUUGCGAAGGCAGUUCACUGGACUGCAACUGACACUGAGGCUCGCAAGUGUGGGUAUCAAACAGGAUUAGAUACCCGUGUAGUC